Molecule: ribosomal RNA, 540 nt
Filed under: uncultured bacterium
Lineage: Bacteria
Description: bacterial SSU rRNA
Rfam family: Bacterial small subunit ribosomal RNA
Source: RNAcentral
UGGGGAAUCUUGGACAAUGGGGGCAACCCUGAUCCAGCCAUGCCGCGUGAGUGAUGAAGGCCUUAGGGUCGUAAAGCUCUUUCGCCUGUGAAGAUAAUGACGGUAGCAGGUAAAGAAACCCCGGCUAACUCCGUGCCAGCAGCCGCGGUAAUACGGAGGGGGUUAGCGUUGUUCGGAAUUACUGGGCGUAAAGCGCACGUAGGCGGACCAGAAAGUUGGGGGUGAAAUCCCGGGGGCUCAACCCCGGAACUGCCUCCAAAACUAUUGGUCUAGAGUUCGAGAGAGGUGAGUGGAAUUCCAAGUGUAGAGGUGAAAUUCGUAGAUAUUCGGAGGAACACCAGUGGCGAAGGCGGCUGUCUGGACCAGUUCUGACGCUGAGGCGCGAAAGCGUGGGGAGCAAACAGGAUUAGAUACCCUGGUAGUCCACGCCGUAAAACGAUGAGUGCUAGUCGUCGGCAGGCAUGCCUGUCGGUGACGCAGCUAACGCAUUAAGCACUCCGCCUGGGGAGUACGGCCGCAGGUUAAAACUCAAAUGAAUUG